AAGCCAUGUUACAAAAAAAAAAAAAAAAGAAUAUGUUAAAUUGGAUCAAACUGUUAACAUCUAUUUAAAAUUGGGCUUUGUGUAGUUUUUCGGUUGGGCUUUUGUUUACAAAAUUAUAACUCUAAUUUCUUUUUGAUUCCUUUGUUUUAGUUUGAAGUAUACACUCAAGACGAGUUACGACAAACAAAUUUUUAGUAAUCAGAAAACAGAAAUCAAACAAGAAUUUAAAAUGUUAAA
Molecule: long non-coding RNA, 237 nt
Organism: Brassica rapa (field mustard)
Lineage: Eukaryota; Viridiplantae; Streptophyta; Magnoliopsida; Brassicales; Brassicaceae
Source: RefSeq, a predicted model, not a curated record